GAUGAACGCUGGCGGCGUGCCUAAUACAUGCAAGUCGAGCGAACAGAUGAGGAGCUUGCUCCUCUGACGUUAGCGGCGGACGGGUGAGUAACACGUGGAUAACCUACCUAUAAGACUGGGAUAACUUCGGGAAACCGGAGCUAAUACCGGAUAAUAUAUUGAACCGCAUGGUUCAAUAGUAAAAGACGGUUUUGCUGUCACUUAUAGAUGGAUCCGCGCCGCAUUAGCUAGUUGGUAAGGUAACGGCUUACCAAGGCAACGAUGCGUAGCCGACCUGAGAGGGUGAUCGGCCACACUGGAACUGAGACACGGUCCAGACUCCUACGGGAGGCAGCAGUAGGGAAUCUUCCGCAAUGGGCGAAAGCCUGACGGGGCAACGCCGCGUGAGUGAUGAAGGUCUUCGGAUCGUAAAACUCUGUUAUUAGGGAAGAACAAAUGUGUAAGUAACUAUGCACGUCUUGACGGUACCUAAUCAGAAAGCCACGGCUAACUACGUG
This 497-nucleotide ribosomal RNA is filed under the name uncultured bacterium. Its description in RNAcentral is "partial 16S ribosomal RNA". It matches the Rfam family "Bacterial small subunit ribosomal RNA", at positions 28 to 507 of the family's 1533-position model. The record is from RNAcentral.